AGAGUUUGAUCCUGGCUCAGGACGAACGCUGGCGGCGUGCCUAAUACAUGCAAGUCGAACGGAGAUAUUCGCUGAUGAAGUACUUCGGUAAUGAAUCUUGGAUAUCUUAGUGGCGGACGGGUGAGUAACGCGUGAGCAACCUGCCUUUCAGAGGGGGAUAACGUUUGGAAACGAACGCUAAUACCGCAUGACAUUAUCUUAUCGCAUGGUAGGAUAAUCAAAGGAGCAAUCCGCUGAAAGAUGGGCUCGCGUCCGAUUAGGUAGUUGGUGGGGUAACGGCCCACCAAGCCGACGAUCGGUAGCCGGACUGAGAGGUUGGACGGCCACAUUGGGACUGAGACACGGCCCAGACUCCUACGGGAGGCACCAGUAAGGGAUAUUGGUCAAUGGGGGAAACCCUGAACCAGCAACGCCGCGUGAGGGAAGACGGUUUUCGGAUUGUAAACCUCUGUCCUCUGUGAAGAUGAUGACGGUAACAAAGGAGGAAACUCCGGCUAACUACUUGCCAG
This 509-nucleotide ribosomal RNA is filed under the name uncultured bacterium. RNAcentral's name for it is "bacterial SSU rRNA". It matches the Rfam family "Bacterial small subunit ribosomal RNA", at positions 8 to 511 of the family's 1533-position model. The record is from RNAcentral.